RNAcentral lists this unclassified non-coding RNA (570 nucleotides) under uncultured soil eukaryote. Its description in RNAcentral is "sequence contains 18S rRNA gene, ITS1, 5.8S rRNA gene, ITS2, 28S rRNA gene". The stretch from base 149 to 306 matches the Rfam family "5.8S ribosomal RNA". The record is from RNAcentral.
GGAGGGAUCAUUCACACAAACACACACUUCAACAACACCACACCUAAGCACCUAGUGUGCCGACUGUGUUGUGUUGUUGAAACACACCAAUCACACCCUACAUCUGCAAUACACACUAUACUUGACUAUCACUAUAUAAUAUCUACACCACACCUAGCAAUGGACCUCUCGGCUCUCGUACCGAUGAAGAACGCAGCGAACUGCGAGACGUGAUGUGAGAAGCAGAUACCCGUGAAUCAUGGAAUCUUUGAACGCAACUGGCGCUAGGCGACUCGCACAUCGCCUAGCACACGCCCCUCAGUCUCCGUCCUUACACACCAGACAGCUGCUGUUUCAGUGCAGUGAAGCUGCUUGGUAGAGUUGAGCGUACUUGUCAUUGACACAUGACAUGUGCUGUGUUGGUGAGUGUGAAGUCAGCAGCAGUCUAUGAUUGUGCUUGCUGGUACUUCUGGUUGUUGUGCUUGUAUGGAGCUGAGUUGGCGUGAGGUGACGCCCUGAAUUUAAGCAUAUUAGUAAGGGCAGGAGUCGAGACUAACUAGUAUUCCCCUAGUAACGGCGAGUGAAGCGGGA